This 989-nucleotide ribosomal RNA is filed under the name Chaetorellia jaceae. Its description in RNAcentral is "partial 16S ribosomal RNA". Lineage: Eukaryota; Metazoa; Arthropoda; Insecta; Diptera; Tephritidae. The record is from RNAcentral.
UUGAAAAAUUGGUAUAUAAAAAAAAUUUUUUUUUUGUACCUUGUGUAUCAAGUUUAUUAACUAAUUAAUAAUUAUUUAUUAUUCGCGAUUUUAUAAUAGUUAAUAAUUUACUAAAAUUUAUGUAUCAAAAUUAUUUUUUAUAAGUUAUUAGAAAUUAAAUAUUAUUCGUUUAUAAAGAUACCUAGUUUUUUUAGAAAUCAAUUUAAUUUAUGAAUUUUUAAUUUUUUAUUAAUUUAAAUAUUUCAAGGGAUAAGCUUUAAAAUAAAUUAUUAUAAAUUAAUAUUUUUUUUAAAUAUAUGCUUAUAAUUAACAAUUAUUAAUAAUAUUGUUAUAAAUUAUUGUAUUAAUAAAUUAUUUAAUUAAUUUUAAUAUUUUUAUAAGUUUUUUUUAAUUUUAUAUUAAAAAGUAUAAAUGAUAAAAUUAGUACAUUUAUAUUUGUUUUAAGUAAAUUUAUUUGAUAAGUUUUUAUAAAGAACUCGGCAAAUAUUUAUACUCGCCUGUUUAACAAAAACAUGUCUUUUUGAGUUAUUUUUAAAGUCUAACCUGCCCAAUGAGUAAUUUUUAAUGGCCGCAGUAUUUUAACUGUGCAAAGGUAGCAUAAUCAUUAGUCUUUUAAUUGAAGGCUUGUAUGAAUGGUUGGACGAAGUAUAAACUGUUUCAUUUAAAUUUAUAAUAGAAUUUUAUUUUUUAGUAAAAAAGCUAAAAUAUAAUUAAAAGACGAGAAGACCCUAUAAAUCUUUAUAUUAUAAUUUAUUAUUUUUUUUUUGAUUUAUUAGAAAUUAAUAUAUUAUAAUAUUUUGUUGGGGUGAUAUUAAAAUUUAAAAAACUUUUAAUUAAAUUUUUUACAUUAAUUUAUGAUUUAUUGAUCCUUUAAUAAUGAUUAUAAGAAUAAGUUACUUUAGGGAUAACAGCGUAAUUUUUUUGGAGAGUUCUUAUUGAUAAAAAAGUUUGCGACCUCGAUGUUGGAUUAAGAGAUAUUUUUAGGUGUA